UGGUCGUCGACUUGUGCAACUAUUGUACAAUUUUAAUCAGACUAAUAUUGCACAUGUCCCGGCCAAU
Molecule: non-coding RNA, 67 nt
Organism: Acyrthosiphon pisum (pea aphid)
Lineage: Eukaryota; Metazoa; Arthropoda; Insecta; Hemiptera; Aphididae
Source: Rfam